AGCAGCCGCGGUAAUUCCAGCUCCAAUAGCGUAUAUUAAAGUUGUUGCAGUUAAAAAGCUCGUAGUUGAAUUUCGGGGUUAGUAGGUUGGUCAUGCCUCUGGUAUGUACUGGUCUCACUGAUUCCUCCUUCCUGAUGAGCCGUAAUGCCAUUAAUUUGGUGUUGCGGGGAAUUUGGACUGUUACUUUGAAAAAAUUAGAGUGUUUAAAGCAAGCUAACGCUUGAAUACAUUAGCAUGGAAUAAUGAAAUAGGACGUUCGAUCCUAUUUUGUUGGUUUCUAGGAUUGACGUAAUGAUUAAUAGGGAUAGUUGGGGGCAUUAGUAUUCAAUUGUCAGAGGUGAAAUUCUUGGAUUUAUUGAAGACUAACUACUGCGAAAGCAUUUGCCAAGGAUGUUUUCAUUAAUCAAGAACGAAAGUUAGGGGAUCGAAGACGAUCAGAUACCGUCGUAGUCUUAACCAUAAACUAUGCCGACUAGGGAUCGGAUGAUGUUAAUUUUUAAU
This 501-nucleotide ribosomal RNA is filed under the name uncultured Glomus. RNAcentral's name for it is "SSU rRNA". It matches the Rfam family "Eukaryotic small subunit ribosomal RNA", at positions 569 to 1074 of the family's 1831-position model. The record is from RNAcentral. Lineage: Eukaryota; Fungi; Glomeromycota; Glomeromycetes; Glomerales; Glomeraceae.